AAGAGGUGGGUCUACAACAGACCAGCUUUGGAAAGUCUGUUUAAUAAUAUGUUCCUUUAAAUAUUUUGUAUCAAAUUCCCCCAUCAUAAUGACCAACCCUCCUGCCCACUGGCACAGAGAAGAGAGAUACACGUCAAGACACAGCAGUGGUCAAGGAACGACUCGGAGUGAACAGUAGCAUGCUGCUUGUGUAUCUCUUAAUUUGACAUAAGGCCUUGUGCCAAGCCUCUCCCUGUCUGACUCACUCACCCCGUACCUCUCGAUCACUUUCCAUAUUUCUGAAUAUAAAUAGAUGAUAGGAAUAAAAUAAAUUACCCCCCCCCCUCUCUCCAGUUAACUAUUUCUAUCCCUCCUCAUUCUGUCCUGCUGGAAUGUUGUGGCGCUAUAAUUAAAGUGGCUCUCACUGCUGCCGGUGAGUCACAUGCCAGGGCCAAAAAGGAAACAGGACAACUGGGAUAAUAGAUCAGUCACCAGCCUGAUGCCAAGGUCACACACUGAGGGCUGUUUGGAACAUGAACAGAACAAAACUGAUGUCCAUUUCCCAUUGAAAAUUAAUCAGUAAGGGAUACUGAGAUAUCAUGUCUUCAGUAAGAGCAUGAUCUAAGCACACUCUUAGAAUAUUACAGUAAGGCAUUCGACAGAAUUAAACCAAUUAAUUGUUUAUGAUUGUUAUGACAAUGAGGACUAGGGAAAGGUCAACUUGAAAACAGAUCAGAGUCAUAAGGGUUUUGACUUUGGAACAGGAUUGUCAGUCUGGUAACUGAUCAGGACAGAGUCUUACGACUGACGUGAUGGAUGGCCGAGGCGAGAUUAUUUGAGAGGAACAAAGCUCAACAGGCAUUAAAAUGGCAUGCUGUUUCUUAGUAGUUCUAGGUUACAAACAAAAAUAGAAAUUAUUAUGUCCUCAACUGACCAUCACACUAAGGUCGGUUUAUUAUCUGAAGUAAACACUUGUCAUUUAUACCAUGGCAAAACCUGGAAUGUGCAUAGGCCUAUUAAAUAUGAAUGCCCACUGUGUGUCUUCACAGUAACUGGCGGCCUGGCGCUAUGACACAGAAAUGUGACACCCUGCCCUUAAAACAUGUAUUGCUACAUAUGCUGUUAUGUUCAUAGGGUGUUGAUUUGGUAGACUACAACAUGGACAGUGACUAAACAUAAACUCAGAAAAUAAAGAAACGUCCUCUCACUG
This is a long non-coding RNA of Oncorhynchus kisutch (coho salmon), 1189 nucleotides long. RefSeq lists it as uncharacterized. Lineage: Eukaryota; Metazoa; Chordata; Actinopteri; Salmoniformes; Salmonidae. The transcript has 2 exons. The record is from RefSeq and is a predicted model, not a curated record.